GCUGCGUCAGGCUGUCCCGGUAACGGCUGCGCUGGCAGGGCAGUGCUCGGGGCCGGCUGGUGUAGGUGUAGGUGCUCGGGGCCCGAGAGGUGCGAUCAGUCAGCGCCGAGGCCAUGUCCAGGGGCUGACUGCCUCGCUUUCGGUGGAGCUUCGCUUUGAAGCAGGUGGGCGCUAAGGUGUUGUGGGACCCGGAGAGAUGUAAGUAGUGCCAAGGGCAAGGAUUCCGCGACGCGAGGAGAGGCGACAACAAGGGAGGCGGGCGGGACGGGAGGUUACCAGCGCAGGAGGUGGGAGCUAUACUGGGCUCGCUCCCAGCACCACAGAGACCAGCUGCGGGGGCCGCAUCGGUUGCCCAGCAACCCAGGGUUCUGUCUGGGGGCCGGAACUCCGGGUAGUUCCGGUCCCCGGGUUUCCCGGGAAGGACUGCGGCACAAGGGACUUCCGGCUCUUGACUCCGCCCAGCCGCGCCACCCAGGUAGGUGCGCCUGCGCUUUGCGAGGUUCCUGGCUAGGGAGGCGGCCUUGGCUGGCCUGACCGUCAUCCUUGAGGCCUGCGGGGCAACGGUGGCUGUCCUUGGCCCGGCUUUGGAAUGUGGCUUUGCAGGGCUGGUGUUGGCGCCAUUCUCGCAGGCCCACGUGCUCCUGCUCUUCCAGGGUGUCCUCGGCUGUUUCUCCUGCCGCGGCGCAGCAGCGCUCCCAGGCUGCCCCCGCGAUAACACGCCCCUGGCAGCCAGGCUCCCAGCUCUGUUACGUGCCCGGGCGGGGAAGAGCUUCCUGGUGUCUCCCGGCUCCUGCCCUUCUCCCGCCCCAGGGGCGGGCUGCCGCCGCCCUCUGCAGCUGAGUCAGUGCAGUUCCUCACCUACCUUCUCUGCUCACCGUUGUGUGCUAGCAAUCGGAGGACCCUUGGCACACGGAGCGACAGGGGCCUCCCCCACAGACACCUCAUUUUGGGAAAGAAGGUGCUCUAUGCUUGGCCCAUCAUAGAUUGUGGCCCUUCAUUCCUGCAUUUGAUGAAUCCAGGGAACCCUCUCUCCAACACCCUUGGCCUCUCUGCAACUUUCUAACAUCAGGCAGAGUCAGAGGCACCAUCCCCA
This 1093-nucleotide long non-coding RNA is filed under the name Pan troglodytes (chimpanzee). RNAcentral describes it as "long non-coding RNA NONPTRT014886". Lineage: Eukaryota; Metazoa; Chordata; Mammalia; Primates; Hominidae. The record is from RNAcentral.